AAAAUCGUGAAAAAUAGUGAUCGAAAUGCAUUUUUAAUUUCAAAAUGCUUACUUACAUCAGACGAUGAAAGAGAGCCGUUCUCUGACAACUCUGAUAUAGAUGGAGAUUAUGUUCCAAGUAGCAGUGGUCGCGAUGAUGCUGAAGUGCAAAACUUGAAUGAAGCUGGGAAUGGGAAGUCCAGAAAAAGGGUUCGUAAAACUGCGACAUGGAAAAGAAAUUGUUCAAAAAUUCGAAGAAACAGUGGCCAGGAAUACGUUGGUCGCAAGGGUGAACUACAUCAUGCAAAAUCUGUUAAGGCUUAUGACCAUACAUGCAGAUACAAGUGUACAGAAAAUUUUACGGAGGAAGUUAGAAACACAAUUUUUACUGAUUAUUGGAAUCUUGGAAACAAAACUAAUGGAUGGGAUCUACAGAGCACCUUUAUUGCAUCAUGCAUACAAAAUAAUGCGCCAAAAAUGCACCGUCUAAAAAUCACCAAACAAAAGAGUAUUAGCACUGUGAUAAAACUUCAAAAUAAACGUGUAUGCAAAGAGUUUUUUCUGAGAACUCUAGGUAUUAGCCGCAAACGGUUUUAUAACGUCACAAAGAAAAAGAAGGAGUCUGGAGUCGUCCAAACGGAUCAAAGGGGAAGACAUGUCCCUAGCAAUAAAAUAGACGAUGAGUCUUUAAACUUAGCAAAACAGCAUAUAAACUCGUUCCCAAAAUUUGUGAGUCAUUAUACUAGAAAAGACAAUCCGAAUCGCAAGUAUUUGUCUCCCGAGUUAAAUGUAACAAAAAUGUACAAGCUAUACAAAGAAUUUUGUCACGAAAAAGAAGCCCGACCAUUAAAUCUGAGCAAAUACCGCGACAUUUUUAAUAACCAUUUCAACUUAGCUUUUCACCGACCAUAUUCAGACACAUGUACAAAGUUUGACACGUUCAUUACUCAGAAAAAUUCUUGUGAUCCAGAAUCUGAAGAGGGCUCCCGCGUUGCCAGAGAACAUGAUCGUCAUCUACGUCAAGCUGAAGCAGCCAAAAAUGUAAAAAACGCCGCCAAGGAAUCAGCAAGACAGUGUCCAGAAAAACGUGCUAUUUGUUUUGAUCUACAAAAACCUUACCCACUCCGCAUUUGACAUGCAGCAAAGUAUAUUAUUUGCGCCAGCUAUGGACUUACAAUAUAGGAAUCUACGAUUUAUCAUCCGGAAUUGGUAAUAUGUACAUGUGGCAUGAAGGUGAAGGGUCGAAAAGUUCUCAAGAAGUCAUGUCAUGUUUGCUGAAGUAUAUUGAAAGUUUCCCAAAAACAGUGACACACAUCGAUGCAUUCAGUGAUAACUGUGGUGGUCGAAACAAGAACAAGAACAUAAUAAAAUUUUGGAUGUAUAUUGUGCAAUUUACACAUAUCGAAAGUGUUGACCACCGUUUUUUUGUUUCGGGACAUUCCUUUAUGGAAUGCGAUCAAGAUUUUGCCAUUAUUGAAAAAGCAAUGAGACGGCUAACUCACGUUUUUACUCCCGAUGAUUGGGUUAAUUUUAUAGCAGGAGUCAGUAGAAAAUUUAUUGUAGUAAAAAUGCAACCUGAGGAUUUUAAAUCUAUAUCUCCCAUGGACAACAUCAUGAAAUCAAAUCUUACAGGAAUAAGUAAAAUGCAAUGGCUACAUUUCAAAAAACGUAUCCAAUGAAACUUUCUUAUAAUGAAAUUUAUAAUAGUGCUUUUCCUUUUGAAGAAAUGGAUCUUUCUAAAAAAACUGCCUUGCGUGGUAGACCUUCAAAAAUUCUUCUACCUGCUUUAUAUGACAGUCCUCCAAAAAUAAAAUUAGCAAAAUUCAAUAAUUUGAUGCAGCUUCUACCAUAUGUACCACCAAUACACCAUGAUUUCUAUAAGUCGUUGAAUCCAGGACAGACGUUGAAUGCAGGCUAUCAAACAAACGGGCGAAACGAUGAAGAUUAUACUCUCGGUGACAUGGUUGAAUCGGAUGAUGAUUUAUAUUAAUACAAAACCUUCUGUAACUAUUUUUUAUUAAAGUCUAUUCUAUUA
Molecule: long non-coding RNA, 2014 nt
Filed under: Anthonomus grandis grandis
Lineage: Eukaryota; Metazoa; Arthropoda; Insecta; Coleoptera; Curculionidae
Description: uncharacterized LOC126742740
Source: RNAcentral